AGGGGUUUAGGUUAAAUCUAGACCAAGAGCCUUCAAAGCCCUAAGCAAGUUGAACUACUUAACCCCUG
Molecule: transfer RNA, 68 nt
Filed under: Elephantulus rupestris (western rock elephant shrew)
Lineage: Eukaryota; Metazoa; Chordata; Mammalia; Macroscelidea; Macroscelididae
Description: tRNA-Trp
Source: RNAcentral